AGUCUGCAACUCGACUACAUGAAGCUGGAAUCGCUAGUAAUCGCGAAUCAGAAUGUCGCGGUGAAUACGUUCCCGGGUCUUGUACACACCGCCCGUCACACCAUGGGAGUCGGGAAUGCCCGAAGUCAGUGACCCAACCGGAAGGAGGGAGCUGCCGAAGGCAGGCUCGAUAACUGGGGUGAAGUCGUAACAAGGUACC
Molecule: ribosomal RNA, 199 nt
Filed under: uncultured bacterium
Lineage: Bacteria
Description: partial 16S ribosomal RNA
Rfam family: Bacterial small subunit ribosomal RNA
Source: RNAcentral